RNAcentral lists this transfer RNA (81 nucleotides) under Novibacillus thermophilus. It matches the Rfam family "tRNA". Rfam says of the family: Transfer RNA (tRNA) molecules are approximately 80 nucleotides in length. Their secondary structure includes four short double-helical elements and three loops (D, anti-codon, and T loops). The record is from Rfam by way of RNAcentral. Lineage: Bacteria; Bacillati; Bacillota; Bacilli; Caryophanales; Thermoactinomycetaceae.
GCGGGUGUGGCGGAAUUGGCAGACGCGCUAGAUUUAGGAUCUAGUGCCUUUGGCGUGGAGGUUCGAGUCCUCUCACCCGCA